RNAcentral lists this ribosomal RNA (364 nucleotides) under uncultured bacterium. Its description in RNAcentral is "bacterial SSU rRNA". It matches the Rfam family "Bacterial small subunit ribosomal RNA", at positions 527 to 895 of the family's 1533-position model. The record is from RNAcentral.
GGAGGAUCCAAGCGUUAUCCGGAAUCAUUGGGUUUAAAGGGUCCGUAGGCGGUCUUGUAAGUCAGUGGUGAAAGCCCAUCGCUCAACGGUGGAACGGCCAUUGAUACUGCAGGACUUGAAUUACUGGGAAGCAACUAGAAUAUGUAGUGUAGCGGUGAAAUGCUUAGAGAUUACAUGGAAUACCAAUUGCGAAGGCAGGUUGCUACCAGUGGAUUGACGCUGAUGGACGAAAGCGUGGGUAGCGAACAGGAUUAGAUACCCUGGUAGUCCACGCCGUAAACGAUGGAUACUAGCUGUUGGGCGCAAGUUCAGUGGCUAAGCGAAAGUGAUAAGUAUCCCACCUGGGGAGUACGAACGCAAGUUU